Molecule: unclassified non-coding RNA, 224 nt
Filed under: Edenia gomezpompae
Lineage: Eukaryota; Fungi; Ascomycota; Dothideomycetes; Pleosporales; Pleosporaceae
Description: partial internal transcribed spacer region
Rfam family: Eukaryotic small subunit ribosomal RNA (bases 1-46)
Source: RNAcentral
AAGUCGUAACAAGGUUUCCGUAGGCGAACCUGCGGAAGGAUCAUUAUCAAAAGUCAGUCGGGAGCCCUAGUGGCUGCCGUCUACACCCAAGUCUUUUGUGUACUCAUUGUUUCCUCGGCGGCGUAAGUCGCCGAAUGGACAAACUAAAACCUUUUUGUAAUUGCAAUCAGCGUCAUUAAAUAUAAUAAUAUUUACAACUUUCAACAACGGAUCUCUUGGUUCUG